Gymnodraco acuticeps is the source of this 380-nucleotide long non-coding RNA. RefSeq lists it as uncharacterized. Lineage: Eukaryota; Metazoa; Chordata; Actinopteri; Perciformes; Bathydraconidae. The record is from RefSeq and is a predicted model, not a curated record. The transcript is spliced from 2 exons.
CUGCAAUUCCGUUAUCUGCUGUCUGCUCUGUGCUCUGUGUGCUCUGGGUCCUCCUGCAAUACCUGCUUCUUUACGUUGUAAACAAUAAAGGAAGUGGGCUGCGUAAUGUUGGCACGCUGGCUGGCAUUCUUUAUAAUUUGCGCAGGACCAUAUCUCUGGAACCCAUUGGUCGAUUCGUGUGAUUUACACCUUUUUCUUAACCAUCAGAACCAAUAGAAUCGAUGGGCAGUUCCCAAAUCUACGUAAACAUUACCAUAGCGGACGUAAUAGAGAAGCCAACGAAGCAUAUCUGAAAGUGCAAGCCUGGACGGCAAUACUUUAUACCGAGUAUAUUGCCAUAAAUAUGAUGAUUGAUUAUCAGUAAAAAAUUCUACGUGACA